GGAGGUCGACGACCGGCGCACGGGUGAGUAACGCGUAUGCAACCUACCUUUUACAGGAGGAUAGCCCAGAGAAAUUUGGAUUAAUACUCCAUAGUACUAAUGAAUCACCUGGUUUAUUAGUUAAAACUCCGGUGGUAAAAGAUGGGCAUGCGUGUCAUUAGCUAGUUGGUAAGGUAACGGCUUACCAAGGCGAAGAUGACUAGGGGUUCUGAGAGGAAGAUCCCCCACACUGGUACUGAGACACGGACCAGACUCCUACGGGAGGCAGCAGUGAGGAAUAUUGGUCAAUGGGUGAGAGCCUGAACCAGCCAUGCCGCGUGAAGGAAGACUGCCCUAUGGGUUGUAAACUUCUUUUCUGCAGGAAGAAAUCACUCUACGUGUAGGGUGUUGCCGGUACUGCAGGAAUAAGCAUCGGCUAACUCCGUGCCAGCAGCCGCGGUAAUACGGAGGAUGCAAGCGUUAUCCGGAUUUAUUGGGUUUAAAGGGUGCGUAGGCGGGCUUGUAAGUCAGUGGUGAAAUGCUGUGGCUUAACCAUAGAAUUGCCAUUGAAACUGCAAGUCUUGAGUACAGUUGAGGUGGGCGGAAUGAGUACUGUAGCGGUGAAAUGCAUAGAUAUUACUCAGAACUCCGAUUGCGUAGGCCAGCUUGCUAAACUGUAACUGACGCUGAUGCACGAAAGCGUGGGGAGCGAACAGGAUUAGAUACCCUGGUAGUCCACGCUGUAAACGAUGAACACUGGUUGUUGGCAAUACACCGUCAGCGACUGAGCGAAAGUAUUAAGUGCUCCACCUGGGGAGUACGUCGGCAACGAUGAAACUCAAAGGAAUUGACGGGGGCCCGCACAAGCGGAGGAACAUGUGGUUUAAUUCGAUGAUACGCGAGGAACCUUACCUGGGCUUAAAUGUAGAGUGCAUUGCUUGGAAACAGGCAUUUUCUUCGGAACUCUUUACAAGGUGCUGCAUGGUUGUCGUCAGCUCGUGCCGUGAGGUGUCGGGUUAAGUCCCAUAACGAGCGCAACCCCUAUUGUUAGUUACCAGCACGUAAUGGUGGGGACUCUAGCAAGACUGCCGGUGUAAACCGUGAGGAAGGUGGGGAUGACGUCAAAUCAGCACGGCCCUUAUGUCCAGGGCUACACACGUGUUACAAUGGCAAGUACAAAGAGCAGCCACCUGGCGACAGGGCGCUAAUCUCAAAAGCUUGCCUCAGUUCGGAUCGAAGUCUGCAACUCGACUUCGUGAAGGUGGAUUCGCUAGUAAUCGCGCAUCAGCCAUGGCGCGGUG
RNAcentral lists this ribosomal RNA (1280 nucleotides) under uncultured organism. Its description in RNAcentral is "bacterial SSU rRNA". It matches the Rfam family "Bacterial small subunit ribosomal RNA", at positions 83 to 1364 of the family's 1533-position model. The record is from RNAcentral.